AUUGAACGCUGGCGGAAUGCUUUACACAUGCAAGUCGAACGGCAGCACGGGAGCUUGCUCCUGGUGGCGAGUGGCGAACGGGUGAGUAAUAUAUCGGAACGUAUCCAAUAAUGGGGGAUAACUAGUCGAAAGAUUAGCUAAUACCGCAUACGCCCUGAGGGGGAAAGCUGGGGAUCUUCGGACCUAGCGUUAAUGGAGCGGCCGAUAUCUGAUUAGCGAGUAGGUGAGGUAAAAGCUCACCUAGGCGACGAUCAGUAGCUGGUCUGAGAGGACGACCAGACACACUGGAACAGAGACACGGUCUAGACUCCUACGGGAGGAAGCAGUGGGGAAUUUUGGACAAUGAGCGCAAGCCUGAGCCAGCCAUUCCGCGUGAGUGAAGAAGGCCUUCGGGUUGUAAAGCUCUUUCGCAAGGGAAGAAAACUUAACCUCUAACAUAGGUUGAGGCUGACGGUACCUUGAUAAGAAGCACCGGCUAACUACGUGCCAGCCGCCGCAGUAA
Molecule: ribosomal RNA, 502 nt
Filed under: uncultured bacterium
Lineage: Bacteria
Description: partial 16S ribosomal RNA
Rfam family: Bacterial small subunit ribosomal RNA
Source: RNAcentral